GGAAGGCUUGUUGGUUCCUAGGAUGGCUUUACAGCCUUUGUUCUUUGCUCUAAGCCCAAAAAGUCCCCUAACUAGCAAGCCACAUGAGACAUGGACCUUGAAUAAACUUUCUGGCUAGGGCUUUAAAGUCUUGAAUUUAGUUUUCUUUCUUUCAAAAGCAAGUCAAACAUAUGUAAGAGCUACAACUUUUAAGAUUUUUAGAGGUUAGCAUGGUAGUAAACACCAUAUUUGACAGGAAGUUCUUGGACAUGGUACCGAAAAAGCAAAAACAAAAGUACUAAAAAUAAGUAAGGUGGAUCUUGCAAAAAUUAAAACUUAUGUAUAUCAGUGGAUAUUAUUGAUAUAGGGAAAGGCAAACCACAAAAUGGGAGAGAUAUUCUAAACAAUAAGAAAAGCUUUUUAUCAGACUUUGGCGUCUAGAAGGUAGAAGUUAGACCUAAAGCCAGUCAAUUAACCAACCAACCAGACUAAAAAAUCAAAGGCAGUGUUGAGUGUCUGUGACAAAUGUGGAUGGUAUACAGGACUUUAAGUAGCAUAUUUUGGAAGGGGGAGCCUUGCUAGAGUAGAUGAGGAGAUGGGAGGUGAAGUGUUUCAAACUCUAGUUUAUUGACAGUGGAACCAGGAUUCCGGAGGGUGCAAUGAAUAGACUUGGUAGGGAAAGAACAGAGGAUGAGCAAUAGAAAGAAAUAGGAAGAUUUUAAAGAGUUAGUGUUAAUAUGCUUAUAGCUCCUUAUUGUAUGAUCUAAAUAUUUUGGUAUUACCUAAUAUCUCUUCAAUCAGUUACUGAUGAUUUUUAUGUACAUGCUUCCGCUGGUUAUUGACUUAGACAACUGGACUCUUGUUUGUGGUUUCGUUUAUGGAGUCAAAGCUUUUGUCAGAAUGGAUGUGCUGUGCUUAUUGAGAAUGGGACAAGAAAUGGAAGGAAUUUUUUUUGAAAAUUUAUUUAUAUUAUGUAUAUGAGUACACUGUAGCUGUCUUCAGACACAUUAGAAGAAGUAUCAGAUCCCAUUACAGAUGGUUGUGAGGCACCAUGUGGUUGCUGGGAAUUGAACUCAGGACCUCUGGAAGAGCAGUCAGUGCUCUUAACCACUGAGCCAUCUCUCCAGCCCGGAAGGAAUUUUUAAAAAAGAUUUAUUUAUUUAUUAGAUGUAAGUACACUGUAGCUGUCGCAGAAGAAGACAUCAGAUCCCAUUACAGAUGGUUGUGAGCUACCAUGUGGUUGCUGGGAAUUGAACUCAGGACCUUCCGAAGAGCAGUUGGUGCUCUUAACCACUGAGCCAUCUCUCCAGCCCCAAGGGAGGAAUUUUAAUUUGAUUUAUUAUGUAUGCUUUUAAUUCUGUAUUCUCUUUUAUGUAUGUGUGUAUAGGUUAAAUGUAUCUUUAGAAUACAGUAUGAAGAGGUAUUAUAUAUUCAAAGACCUAUUGAAGAAGAUCGAAGAAAAUUUUUCCAAGAACUUAUUCUCCAUCAGGCGUCAAUGGCACCACCACGAAGGAAACAUACUGGUAAGUCCCAAAGCUUUACACUAAAAAGACAAUGGAAUUAAAAAAUAUUCAAGUCAUCAGUCUUGGUGGCAAACAGCCUUACCCACUGAGCCAUCCCCUGGCCUAGAUAGACAUAUUGAAAAUGGCUGUGUGUACCUAAUCCAAGGUUGAGUACAUCUUUGUUAAAGUUUUAUUAACCCCAACUUCAGAAAUUCUCCUUUUAAAGUUACAUAAAAAACGAGGUCCUAUUGCUAAUCUUUCAGCCUCUACAAGAAAACACCAUUUUUUUGAUAAAACAAUUUUAAGCCUAUAUUCUGUAUUCAACAGCUCAGAAAGCCAAGAGGAAAAAGUUAUCAGUUUUUUCUAUGUUUUCCUCUUUGAAGUACCUGGUUCUUGAAAUGGCAGGAUAUGAAUAACAGGUUAUUGAUUCCUUUGUGGAGCGGGGCAAGUUUGAUAAUCUGAGAGGUGGUAUAUCACUUUUCUCUUGUUACAAAAUGCCUGACACAAAUAAGGAAGGGUUUGCAUAAAUGCAGUUGAUUCCGAUAAGAAAGCACACACAACAGUGGCGGGAGAGCAAGACAUUGGUCACACUGAGUGGGGAGUGCUGGUGCGGUGUGCUUCCUCUUGUGUGGGCCCGGACCGUGGAGUGUGUUGUUUACACUGGAGGUGUCCACUGGAGGUCUCUGCUCACAGACACAACCAGAGCUGAAUCUCCUGGGUGAUUCCAUAUCCAGUCAUGUUGACAGUGGAAUUUAACAACAAAAGCUGGUUAGAAUGUGGUCUUUUCUGGUUUACUUGCUAAUUUAAAAAUAUUUAUUUAGUAUAUAUUAUGUGGUAUUUGAAAGGCUACCAUAGCCCUGUUUUAAGCAUUUUAUUUUUCUUGGGUUUGGAAAUGCUUGCAUAGCUCUUAGAAAACCCCAAGGAUUUGUUGGGUUCUAGGCUGUCGUAAGGAAGGACUGACAUGGAGGAAGCUUUCUUUUCCUCCUUUUAAAGUUACAGAAAAAACGAGGUCCUAUUGCUAAUCUUUCAGCCUCUACAAGAAAACACCAUUUUUUGAUAAAACAAUUUUAAGCCUAUAUUUCCUUGUUCUAUUUUUUUAAAUGUCAUUAUAAUUAAUUCUUGGAAAAUCUCAUACAUGCAUAAGUGCACUUUAAUAUGCACCCCCACUCUUCUCCCACCCUCUUCCAGAUUCACUCUCUAUCCCCUUAGUCCCUCCCGUUCCUUUUCAUUUAUCCUAACUGUUCUUAUCGAUACUAAAUAUUUUUUCUCUUUCUUCUUAUCUUUUCAUAAAUAUCUACUUGUUUGGGUUUUUGUUGUUUAUGUGUUAUAUUGUUAAUAUAUCAAAUAUAUUUACCUUGAUAACAGUUUAUUUUACUUUUUUAUAUACACGUAGAUAAAUAUGUGUUUAGUCUCAUCAAUUCUGUUUCAGCAUCUCAGUGCUGGGAUGGAGUCACCAUGUCUGGCUUAAAUUUUCUGUUUCUCUGUAUUUUUUUCUUUAUGCUUAAAAUUUUUAUUUACUGUGUUUGUGUGAUGGACGACUAUGGUUAUUUCUUUUUACCUUUAUGAGGGUUUUGGAGAUUGAACUCAAGUCUCUAAGGCAAGUAUUUUACCCAUUAAGCCAUCUUUAUGGUUUUUUGCGACAGAGUCUUUCUCUAUAGCCCUGGCUGGACUUGAACUCAUGAUUGGGUGGUUCAUUGACUUUCAGUUUUCAUGGAAAGACCCUGUGACAAUACUUACUAUUUGAGUCCUGAACUUUAGUAUGAUGGCAAGAAAAAAAAUUUUUUUAUUAAAAGUUAAGCUUUAUGAAACACACACACACUCUCCUCUUCCUCCUCCUCCUCUUCUUUUUUUUCUUCUUCCUCUUCUUCCUCUUCCUUUUUUUUUUUUUAAGAAAGAUUCUCAGCCACAUAGCUCUGACUCUCCUAGAACUCACAGAUGUCCACCCACCUCUGCUCCCAGAGUACUAGGAUUAAAGGUGUGUGCCGCCACAUUGAGCUUGAAAGAUCAUUUUGUAAUUCAGUUCAUACAGCUGACAAAGGACCGUGAAGAAGACAGGAUGGACAUCUCUCAGCACCUUACAGC
Molecule: long non-coding RNA, 3563 nt
Filed under: Mus musculus (house mouse)
Lineage: Eukaryota; Metazoa; Chordata; Mammalia; Rodentia; Muridae
Description: long non-coding RNA chr12:5008886-5012449
Source: RNAcentral